This 1056-nucleotide ribosomal RNA is filed under the name Triticum aestivum (bread wheat). RNAcentral describes it as "partial small subunit ribosomal RNA". Lineage: Eukaryota; Viridiplantae; Streptophyta; Magnoliopsida; Poales; Poaceae. The record is from RNAcentral.
AUGGCGACGGGAGGCGAGGCCGACGAGCCGGCGGCGCCGGAGGGGGAGGGGGAGGGGGAGAGGGACUGGGCGGAUCUGACGCCGGUGUGCCUGGCGGAGGCGUUCUCGCGGCUGGGCCCGGAGGACCUGUGGCGCGGCGCCAUGCCGUGCUGCCGCGCCUGGCGGGCGGCCGCGCGCUCCCGGCCGGCGCUCUUCGCCGCGCUCGACCUCGAACCGGCCUUCGAGGCCGUCGGCGCCGACGCCGCCGAGUGGUGGACGCCCGCCUUCCAGCGCCGCGUCGACGCCAUGCUCCGCUCCGCCGCCUCGCUCGCCGCCGGGGAGCUCCGCGUGGUCCGGGUCCGGCACUGCUCCGGCGACGCCCUCGCAUCCGCCGCCAAGAGGAUUCCUCUGUGGAGCGAAGCUCGAUUAAAAAUCCAAACGAGAUUAAUUCCAUGUGGGAGGAUGUUGAGGGUAACCACCCUUGCAACAUGGAAAGGAAACUACUCCCCACAGCUCAGCAUCCUUUCCAUCCAAAGCAGCCCGAGCGUAACUGACCGAUCAAUGCUCACUGUUGCAUCCUGCUGUCCUAUCCUCACAGAAUUGGACAUCAGCUACUGCUACGAGGUUUCAUACAAGUCACUCGAAGUGAUUGGGCAGAGCUGCCCUAACCUCGUGGUCCUUAAGAGGAGCAUAUUCAACUGGCUUGAUUCAUCAGAGCAUGUUCGAACAGUCCCAGCAGAGUAUCUAAGAGCAUGCCCCCAGGACGGCGACAGGGAAGCAAUAGCGAUCUCGAGGUCCAUGCCGAAGCUGAAACAACUCGUGCUCAAGUUCGCGAAGCUAUCUGGCGUCGGCCUCAACUCGAUCGCAGAAGGAUGCAAGGAGCUGGAGGUUCUGGACCUGUUUGGCUGCGCGAAUUUGACGAGCAGGGGGAUAGAACAGGCUGCUGCUAACCUGAAGAACCUGGAGACGCUUGUGAAGCCCAACUUUUACAUACCAAGGUCGGCUUUCCACAUGGAGAGGUACGGGCACUGGCAGUUAUACGAUGAGAGGUUCCAGACAAAUGUAUUUCAGAUAUGA